UACGAAGGGGGCUAGCGUUGCUCGGAAUCACUGGGCGUAAAGCGCACGUAGGCGGCUUUCUAAGUCGGGGGUGAAAUCCCGGAGCUCAACUCCGGAACUGCCUUCGAUACUGGGAGGCUGGAGUCCGGGAGAGGUGAGUGGAACUGCGAGUGUAGAGGUGAAAUUCGUAGAUAUUCGCAAGAACACCAGUGGCGAAGGCGGCUCACUGGCCCGGUACUGACGCUGAGGUGCGAAAGCGUGGGGAG
This 245-nucleotide ribosomal RNA is filed under the name uncultured bacterium. Its description in RNAcentral is "partial 16S ribosomal RNA". It matches the Rfam family "Bacterial small subunit ribosomal RNA", at positions 524 to 768 of the family's 1533-position model. The record is from RNAcentral.